RNAcentral lists this non-coding RNA (596 nucleotides) under Pan troglodytes (chimpanzee). Lineage: Eukaryota; Metazoa; Chordata; Mammalia; Primates; Hominidae. The record is from RNAcentral.
AUCUCCUCCGGAUCACUCACCGAGCCCGUGGACAUCCCGUUGUCCCCCUUGCCCACACGCGUCCUCUUUCCUCCCCCCUGGCCAGUCUCGCUGUCUCCGCCUUCCGCUCCCUGGCGGAGGCGGAGGCCAGAGAGCGCUCCAAGGAAGACUAAAAACCCAGGCCGGGAAGCGCGGGGUGAGAAAGCGAGGUGGGUGGCGAGAGCGUGAGCGCCCCUCUGCUGACCCCGGGGAGCGUGGACUACGAGUUGGCGCCCAAGUCCAGAAUCCGCGCGCACCGCGGAAAAUAUUUGCAAUACCUGCCACAUCCAAGGUUCAGCUGAGGCCAAUGUAAAGCCAGUAUUAUAGGACACUUCUCAGACUGAGAGCCCAAUGUCGUUGGAAACCACUGGGCCACAGGAAAGGCAGGAUCAUGGAAUUCUAAAAUUGGAAGAAAUAUGUUUCUAGUCAUCUAGUAUAGCUUCCAAUCCAUAGGAUGAAUCCUCAUGGCUAAUGAAAGCCUGGAAGAACAUUAGAACCACCAUGAGGAGACUUCAAAUCAUCCCAACACCAGAGAACACUAAAUGACAGUGGACAGGAAGACAGUGUACCUUUUGCUC